This 3548-nucleotide long non-coding RNA is filed under the name Solanum tuberosum (potato). RNAcentral describes it as "long non-coding RNA (STUB_LNC001959)". Lineage: Eukaryota; Viridiplantae; Streptophyta; Magnoliopsida; Solanales; Solanaceae. The record is from RNAcentral.
ACACACAAAAUGAGACUAAGCUACUACUUCUUAUUUCUUAUAUCUCUCUUCUUCUAUUACUCCUUUUUUGCUUUGCUUUUGUCAUAUCACUCCAUCUCUUUCUUUCCUAGCUUUGUUGUUCAAGUUUUAAUAUAUUUAUCUUUAUUUUAUAACAAUUAUCAGCACGAGUCUCUAACCAAUUCAGAUAACUUUUAAAUUUUCUUUUUCAUUGAACAUACAAAGAAAUCAAAAGGUAUAUGUUACUAGUUAUCUAGUCUUUGUCCUUACAUCUCAUUUACGGAAAGGUAUAAAUUUUAUUUUCUCAACUCCAAAUAGUUCUUCACUAAUGAUUGGUUAUUGCCCUUGUCAACUGUCAAGACUCAAGAUUAUUAUAGAUGAGAUGAUAAAUAUUUCACAUUAGAAGAUGUUAUGGAAAUAAAUGAUUUAACUAUACUAAGUCCAAUAUAUAUAUGUUUGAUUUUUUGCUUCAACCGUUAAGAAUCAAGGUAUUCUGGAACUCAAGUUCAUCUUACAAUAUUAAUAUUACCACGGUAAGGAAACAUUUUUUUGAUAACUUUUGUUACUCAUUAUUUGCUUAUAGCCUCUUCAUUUAUAAUUUUCUUGCCUUAAUUUAUUGAACUAACCAUAGAUGUAAGAAGAAAAAUAUAAAUUUAAAAUUGCCUUCAUAAUUUUGUGCUUGUUUAAAUUUGAUAGACUAUCAUAUGGAAUAUGAAAUUGUAUUACUUAUUAUGCUAAAAAAAUUCUGAUUUCUAGAACAAGUUAUUUAGAUGUAAAUGUUUGUUUCUCAUUUGAAUGGAUCAUGAACUACUAAUUAUAUUAAUGAUGAAUCUAUUAGUUUAUCGUGAAUUCAUCUUAUGAUCUUUUGUCUUGUUAAUUUAAUUGAUGAUUUUGAUGAGAAUUAAUUUCUAAAACAUAUAGUAUCUAUAAGAAGCUGGGUUUAUAUACAAAAUGCAAUUAUGUAUAUUUCAAGAUAGUAAGAUAGUAUUUUUAAGGAGAAGCACAUGUUAGUAGUGAUGGAAUUUGGAGCAAUUUUUACCUACUAUAAUGUUUAAGUUGAAAUAUAUAUAUUUCUACAUCUUGACCUUUCUAUUUGUCAUCAAGAUGUGGGUUUAAUAUCCUAUUUCUCAUGGAUAACAAAAAUCCUAAACAAUUUGGAAGUUUCAAUUGCUCAUUUUUCUUGGAAAAUUUUGAUAAUGAUAACUACAUAUUUUUCUAAGAUAAACAAUAUUUUUGUUGUAGAUAAAUUCAAUAUUUAUGUGUAUAAUUAUAAAGUAGUAAUAAUGUUAAAGGCUCUACGGUGAGUCCAAUUGCAUUUUGACUUAUUAUGUCAAUGGUUAAAGGUAAGACGAUGAAUUCAAGUUUUAUCACAUCAAAAGGAUAAGACAUCGAUUACAGUUUUGAUGCACCAUGAUGAUAAGAUAUUGGAUUCAAGUCUCACUAAAUAUGGCCUACAAGCCUUUCUUAUAAAAAAAAAACUUCAUUUCAAAUUCUAAUGCAAUAUAUUGAUGAGAUAAUGAUGAAUGAGCAAAUUGAUGAGCUCUUGAUGAAAAAUUAUGAAAAACAUAUUUUUGCUCAAUUCUGUAAAAUGAAUGUGGUAGCAGUACAUGAUAAGUCUGAAAGAUGACAAAUCACUAUUGUGAUAAUUAUAAAAGAAAGAACAUUAUGAGUUCUCAAAAUGGCCUUUUAAAGAGUGAAGGUAAUUUUUGUCAACAAAAUGGUAUAAAAGGUCAUUAGAAACAUUUUUGUUAUAAGACCUAAUAAUUUGAUAAGUUUAUAAAUCCUCCAUCAAAGAAAAGGAUGAAAAAGUGGUGAAACACUUGACUUUCAAAAGUGAUGUCGAGGUAUGUCAUAUGAAUAUGAUAAAUUUCAAAGCAUGACAAUGAACUUCUAAUGAAAGGAAUUAUUAUGAAGUAUGUAUAUAUGAUUAUGCUCAAUUCUUUGAAGAGAAUGUGACUUGUGAUGAGUAUCAUUAAAAGUGGACCAUUCUUAAAAGUGAAUGUGUCAAGAGAUGAUGAAAAUUAUAAAUUAGGACAUAUUCAUGUAUGAUUUAAUAAAUACCACAACUCACCCCUAUGGGAGGUUAGAGAGAAAUAGAGAAAUUUAUUUUGGCAUAAAUGAUCAUUAGUCAAGUACUUUUAGUACAUCACAAAUACUAUGGUAUGUUUUAGUAUGAACUAUCGAAAUGGCAAAAGAAGGAAAUAAUUUCUUGCCACAAAGAUUUGUCAUUGGUUAUGUAUCUAUGUACGUCAGAAAUAAUUUUCAGAUAUUAAAUAAAAGGGAGGAGAUACUACUGACAAAAUUAAAUCAAGAAACAAAUUUUACUUGUAAUGAUUUUGACCAUGACAAUAAUGAUAUAAAUUUCUCCUUGAAAGAGAUGUUUACCACAUAAACAAUGUUAUGACAUAUGUGGUCGUAUUUAAUGUUAAUUAUGAGCUUUGGUGAGCUAUUGUGCUACUAUCCAAAGAAAUGAAAUUGCUCAUGAUAUUGAAAUUGUAGUAAGUCUCGAAAGAAACUUUUUAUGUUUCAAAAAAAUAGUCAAAGAAAAAAAAUUAUAUUGAGACUAUAAAAUAUGGAAAGAUUUAAGAUGUUCAUAUUAUUAUAAUCAAAGUGAGUUAUAAAUAUUUAUGUGAGAGAUUACUCAUGUUUUCAUAUUGUUUGUGGUAACUAAAUAUGGACAUGAUGAUGAAAUCACAUGCAAAAUAAAUUAGAAGUUUAUUGAAAUAAAUAUCAAUUGACAUGACCGGUUAAUGACCAUCCUGGUUCAAAUAUGAUACGAAAAUAAAUGAGAAUUCAUGUGGUUAUAUAUAUUGAAGAAAUAAUAAAUUCUUCAAAAAAUCUCUUGUGCUGUUUGUUCUCAUGAUAAAAUUAUCAUUGCACCAGCUAAGGUUGAGAUUAUAUCUCCUGAAAUUUUGAAAUGUAUAAAAAGGUGAAUAUGGGCCUGUUCACCUGCCAUGUGGACCAUUUACUAUUAUAUAGAUGCAUCUAUGUUAUGGUCACAUGGGCUUUAUUAUCAACUUGCAAUUUGAUUUUAGCAAAUGUUGUUUGCUCGAAUUGUUAAAUCAAGAGCACAUUUCAAAUUAUAAAAUUAUAUUGAUAAUGUUGGUUUAUAUCCAAGUGGUUUAAGCAGAAAUUAUAUGCCUCUAAUUAUAGCUAAACCAUUGGUAUGAGAACAAAACUCCCAAAAGAAAUUUGGUAUGAGAUGUGUUGUUUAGAGUGUAGCAACACUUGUACGUAUCAAGUCAACAAGGUUCCCCUAUCACAAUUGGUUCAGGGUCAGGAACCAAAUAAUUCUCAUCUAGAAAUUUAAAUGUGUGGUAUAUUAUUGCUCCACCAUUAGGUAAUGCACAAAGAUGAGUCUUCAAAUAAAGUUGGGUGAAUGUUAGAUUCUCUAACAUUAGGGGAAGAUAAGCAAUUGGAAAAUAAGUUAUACAUAAGGAAUUAUCAUUGGUAUGAUCUUCAUUAAAGAGAUAAUUUAAGUCAAUUGUCAGACGCAUUCGCUGAUCCUAUGUUAUAAUGCAGUUAUAAAUUCUCCCAUGAAAAGUCCUUGA